CCUCCUAUAGCUUAGUGGUAAAGCACCCGCCUCUUAAGCGGUGUACCUAGGUUCGAUUCCUAGUGGGAGGACAA
Molecule: transfer RNA, 74 nt
Filed under: Candidatus Giovannonibacteria bacterium RIFCSPLOWO2_01_FULL_46_13
Lineage: Bacteria; Candidatus Giovannoniibacteriota
Description: tRNA-Lys
Rfam family: tRNA
About the family: Transfer RNA (tRNA) molecules are approximately 80 nucleotides in length. Their secondary structure includes four short double-helical elements and three loops (D, anti-codon, and T loops).
Source: RNAcentral